Molecule: long non-coding RNA, 471 nt
Organism: Carya illinoinensis
Lineage: Eukaryota; Viridiplantae; Streptophyta; Magnoliopsida; Fagales; Juglandaceae
Exons: 2
Source: RefSeq, a predicted model, not a curated record
UAUCACUCACAGUGCCUCCACGACCUCCGAGAGAAACAUUGUUGAAAAGGUGGCCGUCGGUCAUGGCAGAGAAUCGAGUUGUGGGGAUGCAAAAAGAGUUCGGGCGUCGGAGAAAAGACUUGGCGCGAAUCGGAUGAUGAGAAGCUGGCCAAGAUCAUCGGCAUGAUAGAAAGACUGACUGAUGGCCCAAACAAACCAACAUGGGGUCAAAAGGCCGCGGCCAAGCUAACCAUGGAACUCGAGGCAUGGGCAAAUGGGAAGGGAGGUGAGACCAUUAUGGGUGCCGAAGCAACUACAAUUGCUUUAACGGGAGCUACUGUUGGUAUUGAAAAUGUCUUCAGUACUUUGAUCCAUUCCGUGGCGCAAAAUUCAUCAUUUACUAACCACUCAUUUGUUUAUGCUAUUUUGAGCUUUGCUCUAGCCCAAGCUAUUGCAUUGUUUGUUUUAAUGAUGACCUUUUUUUUAAUCUCA